CUUCUUAUUGUAAUAAAACCCUCCCCUAAUUCCCACCUAUCACCUCUCUCUCUCUCUCUCUCUUUCUCGCCCCCGCCCCCCAUUCCAUGACUUUCCUGCUUCCCGACGCGAUGCGGAAGAAGAAGAAGCCCCGGUGGACGGCAGAGCCCUCGCUUGCCUCCGCCGACUCUGCUGGCGCCGGCGAUUCCUCCUCGUCCGCCGCCGCUGGUGCGGACCGCCUCACCGAUCUGCCGGACGCCCUCCGCCUCCACAUCCUCUCCUUCCUCCCCCUCAAGUAUGCUGUCCGCACCGGCGUCCUCUCCCGCGACUGGCGCAACCUCUGGAAGUACCGCUGGCCGCACCCCUCCUCCCUCGACCUCUCCGUUGCCGCCGGCGAGCGCCCGGAGGACUUCCUCGACCGCGUCGGCUGCUGCCUCCGGCACCGCGGCCGGCGGCGCCUCGACGUCCUCCGGAUCGCCUUUCACCCGGGCCUCCGCCACGGCCCGGAAGUCAUCCGCUGGCUCGAGUACGCCUCCGCCUGCGGCGUCGAGGACCUCCACGUUGACCUUUCCCCUCCUCCCCCAUCACCUGCCCCCGUCGGCCGCCGCCGCCCCCCUCGCCGCGACUUUUUCCACCUCUGCGAGAGCCCCAACCUCUCUCGCCUCACCGUUUGCGGAUUUCACCUCUCCUGCCCCGCCGCCCAUUUCAAGCGCCUCUCCUCUCUCGAGAUCCUCUGCCUCCACAGCAUCUCCAUCACCGACGCCGCUCUGAGGAGGAUCAUCGCCGCCUGUCCGCGGCUCCGUUCGCUCGAUCUCCGGUACUGCCGGGACCUCCGGCGGAUCGCCAUCCCAGCUUCCGGUUUCCGGCUCGCGAGCCUCACCAUAGUUCACUGCCCCAAGGUCUCCGAGCUCACCGUCUCGGCCCCAGGCCUCCGGUCCUUCCGAUUCAGUGGUGCUUAUCUCACCAGUUACUGCCUCGAUAACUCUUCGGGGCUGGAGGAUGUGUACAUGAGCUCCGGCGGCCUGGGUUCGGGGCUUCCUCGGAGCAAUUGGGUGAAGGCCAUCGGCAGGCUCUCCAAUGUUAAAGUCCUGACCCUUUGCAGCCUUUCGCUUCAGUAUAUUACUGUCUCGGGGGCGAAUGCAAUUGAGGAAUUCAGGAACUUCCGAAACCUGAGAGAAUUGCAGCUGCUGAUGGUGAUGAUGACGGACAGCAACCUUACAGAUAUCUACAGCUUCUUUACUCUUUGCCGGUGUCCAAGCUUGGAAAGGCUUUUCAUAGAGCUUCCAACCAAUAUGUAUGAUCCCUAUAUGGAGAAAUACUUGGAGGUGGUCGAGGAGAAACCUCCAGAGGUUGCUUUCGAAAAUCUCAAGGUCAUAAAGAUGAAUAACUUCAAGGGGCACAACAAUGAGAUUGAACUGGUGAGAUUUUUGUUGGGGAGGGCUGCCUAUCUUGAGUCUUUAUCCAUAGUUACUUUUCAAGAAUUUGAGAUGGAUGAGGUGAAUUAUUAUUCUGGUAUGCUGCAAUUUCUCCGUGACCAGCUGUCAUACUUGACGAAGGCAUCGGUGAAUGCUAAAAUAGUUAUGACUGAGAAUGAUGAUAAGAAGUUACGCCCAACACAUUCUGAAAUCUAUAUUAAAGUCUAACUCACCGUAAGGAGAGUUAUUACAGGUCGGAUCUGGCUAUUGUCCUGUCAGUUUCUUUUGUUCCCAAUUAUUAUACUCUUUACUUGAUCUGCAUUUUGCUUUUGAAAGCUGAUGAAAGUGAAAUUUUUAUAUGCCCUGUGCUAUUAUAGAGUUAGUGUAGGUCCAAACCGCUGAUACCAUUUUGUAAACCCCUUUCUGUUGUCACAUUGACAUCUAUAUAAAAGAUGAAUGUAAAUUAAUGGUUGUGAAAGUGCACAUAUAGGAAGUUUGUUCAACAAAUAUCCUAUGAGGUUGGUCUUCAGCAAAUGUUUCGCCAAAGACUUGCAGGUAUAGGGGAGAGGCCACAGAUGUUCCUGCAAAGGCUUUUCAGAAAUGCUGCAUUACUUGUUCACUUGAUGCCCACAGUAGAGGUCUGAUUUUGGAAAAUUUUAUCAAAAAGACAGUGAUGUUUUGUCAAAUUCUGUUAUAUUUUUUAAUUUUAGAUAAGAAGUAUAUAAGUUAAGUCUGAUCUCGUGAUAUUGGUAAACAAAUUCCACUGUAAAAAUAUCUGGAUAAGAGACCAAGCUAUAACCUAGUAAAGUCCAAGCCUUUGCACUAUCCCCACAAUUUAAAUUCUAGAGGAAGCAGAAAAGAUUAAAUGAAGUGAUACAUAUUGAAUUCAUGGGAGAGGGUGAUGCUAUAUAUGAAGCUACAUAAGCAAUUACUCUCCCAACUCAUUUGUCAAACAAUUAUUUUAACAACCUAAAAACUACAAUGCUAUACUAUUAUGAUCUGAACCCAUAACAAAAUCUUGUCGUGGAAAUUGUCCCUAUUUCUGAGGAUUAUAAUGACAAAAUUAGUCAAAACUUGUAAAACAAAUGAUUGGGCCUUAAAAUCUUUCAUUCUAAAGCAUAUUAUGUACAUCAAAUUACUGUUAGCAGAAAGGCAAUCGAAUUAAAAGCUGUGAAGUUAAAUCUGAAAUGAUUUCAGUGACUCCACAAUUACUUUAAGCAAAUAACAGAAGAAAAAUAUUCUUGCAAAAAUCAAACAACUAUACUCCAGUUUAUCCUCCUUAUUCUUCCAUUUCAUCAUCCUGUCUCAGCAUAUUUGACACAACCACCAGAUCCCGAGCUUCAUGGAAUUAACAAAUUGACUUAAUCUUUAAAAAUACAUAAUCUUCUUCUAAUCAACUUUUUCCUAGGCUUCAGUGCAUUCUGUUGUCCUGUAUGAUGAAAAUUAUAUGCAGACUCCCGUAACUCUAUUAUAGCAUGCCUUUCCAUUUACCAUUCCCCCUCAUAGUAUCUGUCCCCCUUUUAUCCCAAGGCUUAUUGGCACAUGAGCCUGCUAUACCAAAUUGAGUGUCGAAUUAGUUAACAAUUUGGAAGGUAAAAAAGGAAUUGUGGUUGCACCAUUAUUCCAUGAUGGAUUUACUGAUGUUAGUUAAUCAAGGUAGGCCAAAUUUGUCUUCUAAGGAUUCACUAAUAAAAACUCACCCACUGACCACCAACAACGGAAGUUACUACUCAUGCUAGUCAAAUAUUCGCCAAGUUUCAUAUUCCUCUCAUCAAAAAUUAACUUCUGGUCCUUCAUGCCUUUUCCAUCUACAUGGUCUUCUAUUCAGGUCGUCUAAUUUUGUUGUAACAGAUAUUUUGAUUGAAAUCUGGUACUCCUAGCAAUUAUUUAGAAGCCGUGUUGUGCCGUGAGACCUUUCUGUCAAUCAGCAUGAUAGGCAUCCUGAUUCAAACAUCAUUCUAAUGGAAUAAAAAGCCUUGAUGGAAAUCAUAUCCAAAACUGCCAUCCCCUUGUUAUAAACAAUUGAAUCUAUGUAGCAAUGGUUGUCCAACAGCAGGCGUCUUCCCUUUGAAAGAGUCUUAAUUCUUUCUAGAACCAGUUUGUCUACAUCUUUUUCUUUUAUGCUUUACUCAAUCAUAUAUGCUAUUGCCUUCAAAUUUCAAGAAGAAAGUGUAAUAGCUGAUGCCUUGUGAAUAUUGUCUUGCCUCACUAUCUUUGUUCAUAUAAACCUUAACAUUAUUCUUCUGUAGCAAUCAAGUUUACUCCAACUCAACUCUUUUUCAGCUGGAUUGUUUGGCUCAUAUGCAUUCUAGGGACAACAAAACUCCUUAUGUUGAGGAGCUUGACAACAACAUGUAUUAUGGUUAUUGGGAUUUCUUUUGGAUUGUCUUUGAAGAUUUUGUAAUACAAUGUUGUUGCUCUACUUUACCUUCAAAAAUGGAAUGAGUGUUCGAUAUAGGGGAUAGGAUCCAUCUGCUCUCUCUCUAAAUUUUUUUUGCUUCAAUUUAGAGAGAAAGAGCAGAUAUUUCUAUAUCAAAAAAAAAAGAAAAUCGGGAGAUGAUUAAAUAAUAGAUACAUAGACAUCUAAAGGGAUGUAUAUUCGAUUCCUAAUUAAAUUUGCAAGGGCAUUAAAUCACCAUGCUACUGUCUGCUAUACCCAGAAUUAACAGCUUCCUAUGCUUGGGGUCCUAACCAGUGUUAUGCUUUUCUUAGCCCAAACCGUAUAUUGAAACUUCAAUCCAACUGUUUAAUCCAGGAAAAUUUUUACUGUCUGGACGUCAUGAUAUAAUGAGUUUUUACAGGUUAUGGUGCUCAAUAUUUAUGGAUUGAUUUAUGAUCUUUCCAAAGCUUUAAAAUUCUCUCACUGAACCAUUUUCUGAAGCAUGAAGUCGUGUGAGUUUUCAUAUGCUCACAAGCUUCUAGAAAUCUGUUGUUAUUUCAUGUGCCCAUCAGUACCUUUGUUUUUUUCAUGUGUAAAACCAAAAUUUCUAUCAAUCAUGACAUUCUUGGGAAUUUGUAUCUUUCUUGAUAUUGUUGCAAAUUUCUUCAUAUUGUUGAACCAUCGCAUCCAGUACAGUGUUAGUACAUUCAAGUACUGGCAUUUGAUUAAAGCUUUUUCUAACAGCAAAUUGGUGCAGAUAUGUCAAAAAAAGUUAAAAAUAUGGUUCUCUGCUGUUACAUUUUUUGAAGAACGUCAUAUUUAAAAUUAGUUUUAAUGGGAAAAUUAAAUCAAAUAAAGGUCUGCUGUGGCCCUGUCUUCUCUCUUGAAGUUAAGAGGAGGGAGAAGAUAAUAAAAACUUCUAUAAAUUCCAAUAGUUCUUAUGAAGAUGGCUGUUGAAUUACUGCCUUUGGCUGGAUGUAGGUAACAAACAGCAAAAAAUCCUUUUAAGAAAAUUCUUAAACUUACUCUAUUAUUGUUAAGCAACACUGUAACCUAAAUAGGACUAUGGAUUCUAGCCACAAUAUGCUUGGUUUUAUUGUGUAUAGUCCACUGUCUACUAUAAUCCCUUUAUAAGAUUCUAAUUUGACAUUCAAGGACCAUAAUUAUUAUUUUUAGCAAAAAAAAAAAGGACCAUAAUUAUUUACUUGAUGAUACCUUCAUAGUUAAAAUAUGCAGGGCAGGAGUUCGUUUGGGAAUGAGUACCAUCAUGCUUAUGACUGGCAUGCUUGCAUUGUGAUUUGACUGUUAUCAGAUGGCUAAAUAUUCUUACCAAAAAUUGGAUUUGAACUCUUAAUUAUUUUUUUUCCAUUAGUUCAAAACUAAAAGCAGGCAAACACAGGAGGGCAGGAACCAGCCCCAUAAUCUGGAAAGAAGACUAGCAGAAGGCACCUUGAGCUAUGCUCGUUGAAAUUCAGUGGUCGUGCUCCCUUUUUUUUCCAUCCUUGUCUGUUUUCUUCUUAGCCAGCUGGCUUUGUCAUUUUAAUUUUUGAACAAGCAAUGCAGGAAUGUUGGCAUCCGCCAAGUGAUAAUGUAAAGCUAACAAAGAGAACGAAUGAAUCAGCUCAGUGUCUGGUACUCAUGGACUGAUAUUCAAUGAUAGAAAUCAAAACAUAAAGCAGCAGCAGCAUGUAAGCUUUUGAUUUUGGCUCAAUUCAUAACUAUGGCUGAUGGGCUUGCCAAAGAGGGGCAUUGUGAUAACAGAAUUAUCUUCUCAUGAUGUUAUUUUCAAUGGAUUGGUUGUGGCUUGUUCCUCCCUAGUUCUGGUUUUAUUUAUUUAGCCACACAUUUUUGUGCCUCUCUUUCAGCUGCAAUCAAGGUUUUAUUUUGA
Phoenix dactylifera (date palm) is the source of this 5662-nucleotide non-coding RNA. The record is from RefSeq and is a predicted model, not a curated record. Lineage: Eukaryota; Viridiplantae; Streptophyta; Magnoliopsida; Arecales; Arecaceae.